ACUCCUACGGGAGGCAGCAGUGGGGAAUAUUGCACAAUGGGGGAAACCCUGAUGCAGCCAUGCCGCGUGUGUGAAGAAGGCCUUCGGUUGUAAAGCACUUUCAGUAGGGAGGAAGGUAGUGUAGUUAACACCUGCAUUAUUUGUACGUUACCUACAGAAGAAGCACCGGCUAACUCCGUGCCAGCAGCCGCGGUAAUACGGAGGGUGCGAGCGUUAAUACGGAAUUACGUGGGCGUAAAGCGCAUGCAGGCGGCCUGUUAAGUCAGAUGUGAAACGCCCGGGGUCUUAACCUCGGAAUUGCAUUUGAAACUGGCAGGCUAGAGUCUUGUAGAGGGGUUAGAAUUUCAGGUGUAGCGGUGAAAUGCGUAGAGAUCUGAAGGAAUACCGAGU
This 390-nucleotide ribosomal RNA is filed under the name uncultured bacterium. RNAcentral's name for it is "bacterial SSU rRNA". It matches the Rfam family "Bacterial small subunit ribosomal RNA", at positions 335 to 714 of the family's 1533-position model. The record is from RNAcentral.